CCUACGGGAGGCAGCAGUGAGGAAUAUUGGUCAAUGGACGAGAGUCUGAACCAGCCAAGUAGCGUGAAGGAUGACUGCCCUAUGGGUUGUAAACUUCUUUUAUAUGGGAAUAAAAUGUUCCACGUGUGGGAUUUUGUAUGUACCAUAUGAAUAAGGAUCGGCUAACUCCGUGCCAGCAGCCGCGGUAAUACGGAGGUUCCGAGCGUUAUCCGGAUUUAUUGGGUUUAAGGGGAGCGUAGGUGGAUUGUUAAGUAAGUGGUGAAAGUUUGCGGCUCAAACGUAAAAUUGCAGUUGAAACUGGCAGUCUGGAGUACAGUAGAGGUGGGCGGAAUUCGUGGUGUAGCGGUGAAAUGCUUAGAUAUCACGAAGAACGCCGAUUGCGAAGGCAGCUCACUGGACUGCAACUGACACUGAGGCGCGAAAGUGUGGGUAUCAAACAGGAUUAGAUACCCUUGUAGUC
RNAcentral lists this ribosomal RNA (460 nucleotides) under uncultured bacterium. Its description in RNAcentral is "partial 16S ribosomal RNA". It matches the Rfam family "Bacterial small subunit ribosomal RNA", at positions 338 to 795 of the family's 1533-position model. The record is from RNAcentral.